RNAcentral lists this ribosomal RNA (468 nucleotides) under uncultured bacterium. RNAcentral's name for it is "partial 16S ribosomal RNA". It matches the Rfam family "Bacterial small subunit ribosomal RNA", at positions 28 to 507 of the family's 1533-position model. The record is from RNAcentral.
GAUGAACGCUGGCGGCGUGCCUAACACAUGCAAGUCGAACGGAAAGGCCGUGCUAUUGUGGGGUGCUCGAGGGGGGAACGGGGGAGGAAGACGUGAGUAACCUGCCCUUCACUUUGGGAGAGCUUCAGGAAACGGGGGCUAAGACAGGAUAGGAGCUCCUGCUGCGUGGAGGGGGGUGGAAAGUUUCGGCGGUUGGGGAUGGACGCGCGGCUGAUCGGCUUGUUGGUGGGGGAGGGGCUUACCAAGGAUGUGACGGGUAGCCGGCCUGAGAGGGUGACCGGCCACAUUGGGACUGAGAUACGGCCCAGACUCCUACGGGAGGCAGCAGUGGGGAAUAUUGCACAAUGGGCGGAAGCCUGAUGCAGCAGCGCCGCGUGCGGGAUGACGGCCUUCGGGUUGUAAACCGCUUUCGCCUGUGACGAAGCGUGAGUGACGGUAAUGGGUAAAGAAGCACCGGCUAACUACGUG